This 1291-nucleotide long non-coding RNA is filed under the name Felis catus (domestic cat). Its description in RNAcentral is "lncRNA (ENSFCAG00000049981.1)". Lineage: Eukaryota; Metazoa; Chordata; Mammalia; Carnivora; Felidae. The record is from RNAcentral.
AUGUUCAACACCCGGAUGAUUAUCUACCUUAGAAACACUCUGGAGUCACCAAAUGUUUUCAGCAGAAAAGUGACACCAAUCCUGAAACCUGCAAGUGCCCAUUCUCCAACCCAAGUGAGAAGUCGGGGGAAAUCCCUGUCCCCAGAAGGAGACAGGCAAGCCCCCGAGACGGCUCGGCAGGAGAGACAAGUCGUGAGUAGUAUUUCCUCUUUCCCGAAAGCCCAACACACACAUCUGUGGGGUUGUCCUAGCCCACGGGGACGAAGCUGUGUCGUGGGCCUUGGCAUCUGAAGCUGACCGAGAUCUCCAAGAGGACCGGCCCUCACGCAGGGGGCAUCCCCUGUAGAGAAGGAUCCCCCCUGCCGUCACUCCCCAUUGUGCUGACGCCACCACCUGUUAGCUAUAGACUCAGAAGAAGAGCCCAGCCCCAGACUGCAAGAGAUGAAGGGUAGCCUGAAAUCCUGGCACCAUGGGAACAGCACUGGCUUUAGAAUUAGGAAGCCUGGGUCUGGGGCCAGCUCAGCUCCUUCUGAGCUACGUGAUGUUAGGCAUGUCAUGUAACCUUCCUGGGCUUCAGUUCUCGCAGCCAGAAGAGCGGAUUGUUAGAACCGAGGAAACUCUCCUAAAACCCCGCAGCCCUCUGUGCCCAGCAGAAAGCGUGAUCAUGGUUUGGAUCACAGCGUCAGAAAUACCCACUUCUUCUUUGCUGACUCUAGCUCCCCUGUUUUAGCCCCGAGGCUAGUGAUUUCCACACCUACUGCUUAGGUCAAAAUGACCCACUUGAGAAGUGACAGAUUGGAGAAGCUGAGGAAGCCCAAAGUAACCAGUGAUAAUCCACUGGCAAAUAUUUGGGCCAUACCUAUACAGGGAAAAAAUAUUACUUUUAUUAAUACCAGCAGCGUGCUGGGUCACAGGAGGCUCUCGCCGCACCAGGGAUGAUGUGGGUACAGCGCACAGUGGUCUAGGCUGAGCCCGGGCUCUGCUGCUCAUUAGCCUUGUGGCCUGGGGAAGCCCUUCCCGAGGAUAAAAAUGCUGUCCCUGCCCAUCUCACAAGGAGUCGUUAGCAUCAACUGAGAAGUUGUAAUGAGAGCGGUUUAUUCAUGGGGAACUGCUUUCACGCAAGCACGUUAUUAUUGUCACGUCCACGCUGUAGAGUAAGAAGGGAGAGCUGUAGUUUUCACUUUCAGAGGAAGAAAGCCGAACACUGUGCUGUUGUGUAGCUGGUCGGUGAUGGGACUGGGGCUGGAACCCAGGUCGGCCCUGGGACGGUGGCAGAACAGGGAGUGUUGGU